AUUGAACGCUGGCGGCAUGCCUUACACAUGCAAGUCGAACGGCAGCACGGGGGCAACCCUGGUGGCGAGUGGCGAACGGGUGAGUAAUACAUCGGAACGUGCCCCGUAGCGGGGGACAACCAGUCGAAGACUGGCUAAUACCGCAUACGCUCCACGGAGGAAAGCAGGGGAUCGCAAGACCUUGCACUAUGGGAGCGGCCGAUGCCCGAUUAGCUAGUUGGUGAGGUAAGGCUCACCAAGGCAACGAUCGGUAGCUGGUCUGAGAGGACGACCAGCCACACUGGGACUGA
RNAcentral lists this ribosomal RNA (290 nucleotides) under uncultured bacterium. RNAcentral describes it as "partial 16S ribosomal RNA". It matches the Rfam family "Bacterial small subunit ribosomal RNA", at positions 30 to 322 of the family's 1533-position model. The record is from RNAcentral.